This is a long non-coding RNA of Tympanuchus pallidicinctus (lesser prairie-chicken), 1557 nucleotides long. RefSeq lists it as uncharacterized. Lineage: Eukaryota; Metazoa; Chordata; Aves; Galliformes; Phasianidae. The transcript is spliced from 3 exons. The record is from RefSeq and is a predicted model, not a curated record.
CCUCCCUCCGCGGGGCAGCGGGCGCCGUGUCCCAGCUCGCAGCGCUGCGCGCUGGGGCAGAACGGGGCACCGUCCGUCUGCAAGCGGUAAGUAAUCAGGUUGGUAAAGCACUUUGGCUAAGAAUGCUGAAAACAACAGCUGGGCACUUUCCUCUGGUUCUACCUACAGCACAGUGUUGCCAACUUACUGGAAUUCUUGUCGUGGUUUCACAGCAAGGCUCAGGCUGACCAAACGGAACCAGCUGCGUUUGUGUAUGGGGCCGCCGCCGCUUUAAUCCCCCGAACAACGCCGAUGGGGAGGGACGGAAGGGAUCCUCGAAGGGGCACGGGCAGAUCCGCUCAAUACAGAUGGGUACCUGAAAAGCCAAUACACCAACACUGUUUUUAAUUAGAAGGGGAAUGAUUUAAAGCUGCUCACACCCCAGCAAUGCGCAGACAGAGCCUGAGAGCUGCAACCCUAGACUGUGAGCUGUGUGCACCCUUGGUCACUGCUUCCUGGCUGGCCUGGAUGCAAGGUUUGGGAAGCACCUGUUUCACACAGCUGGCACACUGAAAGCACACUCCUGCCUCCCUUGCCUUUACCAUUUCCCAGAGGGCUGAGGGAAAUAACUAUUCUCAAACAGGAAUGAAUGGAGACAACACAAACAGUGAGGGCAAGCCCUAUUUUGAGCUACUGGGUCUGCCUUCCUCACCAUUAUUCCUAGCACUCAAACAGAAAUUACCCAGUUACUUUGCUGAAAAAGAAUGAGUCACUAAGGAGCCAGUGCAAGAUCAUGCUGUUUUCAGUUUACUUAAAAAAAAAAAAAAAAAAAACAUUUUCUCCUCUCACUUAACCUAAUCACUCAAAGGGACACUAUUCUGCUGGACACCAUCAAGCAGCACUUCAGCAGAGCUGAGCUACAAGAUGAAACACACCCAGGCUUUCCUGUAACUACAUCCAAAACUGUACCAAUACAGUGCAGCUCUCCCUCUUAGCUUCCUGUUGACUGUCAGUUGAACACUUUCUGACUGAGCUAGAUCUAGGGUUUCUUAAUGCACUAUUUGAGAUUUAAGAUGCGUAUUACAUCUGUUACAAAUUCGAAAUAUAGUUUGGGGCACACUUGUUUGCCUAGUUUGCGCUGUAAGCAAGCAAUUGAAAAAGCUCUUAACAUUAUAAUUUAGAGCAAACAGCCACGUUGCUUACACAUGAAAGGUGCAUGCUAAGCACUUGAAGUUAAAAAUUGAAAGGCCUGAUUUCUGACCAAAGUUCAGUUCUAAUUUGCAGUAUCCAAGCUCAUCCAGUUCUUAACAAAUAGACAAAAACACCAGGGUUGAUGUAUGACUAGAUAAAGACACAAAGCUGAUGGUUAAAGGAGGAGGGGAGAGAUCCACUCAAAGCAGCAGCAGGUCAGACAAAUUUCUUGUCUAUUCUGAACUUCUCAGGACAGUUUACAGAGGCUCAGGAUCUGCCUCGUGUAUUAUCCAGUGCUUUACUGGGUAAUGUAAUUGUCACUGGCAUUUGGUAAUCCUGUAGCCAAUUUGUCCUUGAAUAAACCUAAGUUUUUCCAAAUAGAAAACA